This 433-nucleotide long non-coding RNA is filed under the name Helianthus annuus (common sunflower). RNAcentral describes it as "hypothetical non coding rna". The stretch from base 182 to 305 matches the Rfam family "Small nucleolar RNA SNORD14". The record is from RNAcentral. Lineage: Eukaryota; Viridiplantae; Streptophyta; Magnoliopsida; Asterales; Asteraceae.
UAUCAAUGAUGAAUAAAGAAAGGCUUGUUUCUCAUGAACAUUCGCAGUGGCCGCCUGAUUGAACUUUCGCCUUCGCCAGGCUUGAGAGUUCAUGCUGUUUCAUCCUUCCUUGGAUGUCUGAGAUCUUCCUUCCUCUGUUUGUUCGUAGAAAUCGUCGAUAUGUUUUUUUCAAUGUGUAUGAAACUGGUGAUGAUAUCUUUAAGGCUUGUUUCUCAGAAACAUUCGCAGUGGCCGACCAAGAGCUUUCGCCUUCGCCAGGCUUGAGAGCUUGUGCUGUUUUGCUCCUUCCUUGGAUGUCUGAAGUUCUAUUUCAUUUAUUUAUUUAUAGAGAAUUAGGGUGGGUUUCUCAGUGAUGAUUUCAAUAGAUGACGAGUCUGAUAAAUUAUCCAUUCCAUUCAGUAUGAAGACCAAUCGAGGCAUUUGUCUGAGAGAU